AGCGGCCUUCUGGACUGACACUGACACUGAGGUGCGAAAGCGUGGGUAGCAAACAGGAUUAGAUACCCUGGUAGUCCACGCCGUAAACGAUGUCGACUAGCCGUUGGGUCCCUUGAGGACUUUGUGGCGCAGUUAACGCGAUAAGUCGACCGCCUGGGGAGUACGGCCGCAAGGUUAAAACUCAAAUGAAUUGACGGGGGCCCGCACAAGCGGUGGAGCAUGUGGUUUAAUUCGAUGCAACGCGAAGAACCUUACCUACCCUUGACAUCGUGCGAACUUGGUAGAGAUACCUUGGUGCCUUCGGGAGCGCACAGACAGGUGCUGCAUGGCUGUCGUCAGCUCGUGUUG
RNAcentral lists this ribosomal RNA (348 nucleotides) under Halomonas urumqiensis. RNAcentral's name for it is "bacterial SSU rRNA". It matches the Rfam family "Bacterial small subunit ribosomal RNA", at positions 720 to 1067 of the family's 1533-position model. The record is from RNAcentral. Lineage: Bacteria; Pseudomonadati; Pseudomonadota; Gammaproteobacteria; Oceanospirillales; Halomonadaceae.